ACCCAGUAUAAACCUACCUGCCGAUGCCGGAGGAAAGACUCGAGUCGCACGCCAAGAAAUACCUCGCCAUCUCCUCUCGCCGCUCCACUUGAACCAGUCUUUCCCUGUCACGCUCAUCUCUCCGUCCUUCCCUCACAUCCGCCCCAUGGCUUCUGCCAAGGUGGAUAAUCGCGUCUCGUUCGGAUCCAAGAGGUCCCGUAAUGAAGCUUCUCGGAGUGAGGGAGAUUGGACAUGCCCUCAAUGUGGUAACAUGAACUUCAGUUUCAGAACUGUAUGCAAUCGUGGAAAAUGUGGUGCUCCUCGACCGUCAACCAGUCCAAGUCCAAGAAUAGGGCCAACACCUAUCCCUGGAGCUUUUGAUCAUCCAGCACCUCUUUAUUAUGGAGGUGUUGGAGCACCACAACCCAUGCCACUUGGAAUGCCUGGUGUCUAUGGUGCUCCACUUCCACAUGCUGGCAUGUGUUAUGACUAUGGGCAGCAAAGCAGUGCUUCUGGACCAUACGGUCUUGUAUCUCCAUAUGGUGCACCUGGCCCAAUGGGAGGCAUGGGUUACGGUCCUGGCCUUAGUAUGGCCCGGUAUGGAUAUGGGUACCGAGGAUCACCAGUACCGUCCAUUUGGGUUCCGAAGGUCCCAAGUCCUUGGUCUGGAGGAGCUCUACCUGAUAACAAUGCUUCACGAAAACGUCGUGGAGGGCCUGAUGGGUUGUCAGAAGGUGAUUGGAUCUGUCCCAAUUGUGACAAUGUUAACUUUGCCUUCAGAACCACUUGCAACAUGAAGAAAUGUGGAACUCCAAGACCUGUUCCUGAUGUGCUCCACUUCUCACUUACUUGGAGGAGCCAUUCUCGUUGGCAUUGAGAACUAUUUUCACAAGUAAACUAACAGAUUAUUCUAAGUGUUCUGCUCUUAGCACUUUGCAAUAACUGGUUGCAAGUGGAAGAUCUUUUUCUUAUGGACGUGGGUUGGCCUUGAACUAGCUUAUGCUGUCCAAGUUGCAUGUCUAGUCAAAUAUGAACAAUCCUUGCAUCUAAUCGAGGUGCAUCUGGCAACAAGGAUUACUCGGAUGCACCCGAAGGUAGCUGGACAUGUAACAAAUGCAACAACCUUAACUAUCCAUUCCGAACUGUCUGCAACAGGAAAGGAUGUGGAAACGAGAAGCCUUCAGCAACGAAAUAGGCAUUUAACCAGAUCCUGCUAUUAAUUGUUGUUUGAGAAUGAAAUGAGGACAGGAUUUUUGAUUUCGAUGAGAUAGUUAUUGUGAAGUCUGAGAUUGUUAUCCAUAAGAUGAUUAAUAGUUGCUUUUGCUGAAUUUGGACCAUUUUGCGACUUAUAUUCCAGUAAUUUUUGAAGUUACUAUUGGCAUUUGUAUUGCUUUGGUGUUGUUAGAAGCUAUUAUUGGCAUUUUGUA
Phoenix dactylifera (date palm) is the source of this 1406-nucleotide non-coding RNA. Lineage: Eukaryota; Viridiplantae; Streptophyta; Magnoliopsida; Arecales; Arecaceae. The record is from RefSeq and is a predicted model, not a curated record.